Molecule: ribosomal RNA, 497 nt
Filed under: uncultured bacterium
Lineage: Bacteria
Description: partial 16S ribosomal RNA
Rfam family: Bacterial small subunit ribosomal RNA
Source: RNAcentral
GAUGAACGCUGGCGGCGUGCCUAAUACAUGCAAGUCGAGCGAACAGACGAGGAGCUUGCUCCUCUGACGUUAGCGGCGGACGGGUGAGUAACACGUGGAUAACCUACCUUUAAGACUGGAAUAACUUCGGGAAACCGGAGCUAAUACCGGAUAAUAUAUUGAACCGCAUGUUUCAUUAGUGAAAGAGGGUUUUGCUGUCACUUAUAGAUGAAUCCGCGCCGCAUUAGCUAGUUGGUAAGGUAACGGCUUACCAAGGCGACGAUGCGUAGCCGACCUGAGAGGGUGAUCGGCCACACUGGAACUGAGACACGGUCCAGACUCCUACGGGAGGCAGCAGUAGGGAAUCUUCCGCAAUGGGCGAAAGCCUGACGGAGCAACGCCGCGUGAGUGAUGAAGGUCUUCGGAUCGUAAAACUCUGUUAUUAGGGAAGAACAAAUGUGUAAGUAACUAUGCACGUCUUGACGGUACCUAAUCAGAAAGCCACGGCUAACUACGUG